This 160-nucleotide ribosomal RNA is filed under the name uncultured bacterium. Its description in RNAcentral is "partial 16S ribosomal RNA". The record is from RNAcentral.
CACGGAGUUAGCCGGUGCUUCUUCUGCGGGUAACGUCGAUGAGCAAAGGUAUUAACUUUACUCCCUUCCUCCCCGCUGAAAGUACUUUACAACCCGAAGGCCUUCUUCAUACACGCGGCAUGGCUGCAUCAGGCUUGCGCCCAUUGUGCAAUAUUCCCCA